UAUUGCACAAUGGGGGAAACCCUGAUGCAGCGACGCCGCGUGAGCGAUGAAGUAUUUCGGUAUGUAAAGCUCUAUCAGCAGGGAAGAAAGAAAUGACGGUACCUGACUAAGAAGCCCCGGCUAACUACGUGCCAGCAGCCGCGGUAAUACGUAGGGGGCAAGCGUUAUCCGGAUUUACUGGGUGUAAAGGGAGCGUAGACGGACUUGCAAGUCUGAUGUGAAAAUCCGGGGCCCAACCCCGGAACUGCAUUGGAAACGGUAUAUCUAGAGUGUCGGAGAGGCAAGUGGAAUUCCUGGUGUAGCGGUGAAAUGCGUAGAUAUCAGGAGGGACACCAGUGGCGAAGGCGGCUUGCUGGACGAUGACUGACGUUGAGGCUCGAAAGCGUGGGGAGCAAACAG
RNAcentral lists this ribosomal RNA (399 nucleotides) under uncultured bacterium. RNAcentral describes it as "bacterial SSU rRNA". It matches the Rfam family "Bacterial small subunit ribosomal RNA", at positions 362 to 775 of the family's 1533-position model. The record is from RNAcentral.